UGACAGAAUAGCCAGCCAAUCAGAUGAUUUCCAGGAUAUCAAUUAAGCUAAUAGACCACCAUUGGCCAAAGUGGCAAGCUUUGAUCCCACUGUGGAGAACAACUCAAUUAUUCAUCAGGAAGAGUUCAGCUAUAGCAAGGAUCAACUGCAGAUAACCAUGGAAGAAAGGUUAACAGAAUAAAGAGCAGUAGAGCCCAUCAGAAGCAAGAGACAAAGUUAAUUACUACUUGGAGCCUAGUAGUCUUGUAAAGGUUUGGUUUUUGUCUUAAAAACCAGUCAUAAGGUGAGCUUUUUUUGUUUUAUUUGCAUAUAUUUCUGUUUCCCUCUCCCUGCCCUUUCUAACCAUUACUAACCUGCACUUUCCUUUUACAAUUGUUUGUGUCCUUUCCCCAGAAAUGUAUUUGUUAUUUUUUUUUUUGUGAUUUAUAAAUUGAUAUAUAUUAUCAUCUGUCAUUGUUUCUGAAAUGUACUAAUUUUGUGUCAGUUUCUACCUUCAAAAGGUUCUCAGAAGAGGAAUGGACAGCUAGUUGCCGACUACAAAUCAAAGUUGAGACCAUUGCGAGGAUCCAGGAUACUGGGUAUCCACCAAGCCUACAGGUCAUUACUGGCCAAAAUGAAUAAUGGUAAGGGAAGCCUUGAUCCUAUGGUGGAGAAAUAAUUCCAUUGACUCAUCAACAGAAAUCAACUACAGCCAGCCAUGGAAGAAAAGUGAGGAAGCAGCAUAUCCGGUUGACCACCAUAACGUAAGCUGGCUUUACGAGCAAUGAGUCCGGUUAAUUAGAAAUAGUGCAUCACCUGCCAGCAAGAGUACAUAAAGCUAGAAUUAACUGCUGCCAACCCAGCAG
Molecule: long non-coding RNA, 845 nt
Organism: Saccostrea echinata
Lineage: Eukaryota; Metazoa; Mollusca; Bivalvia; Ostreida; Ostreidae
Exons: 5
Source: RefSeq, a predicted model, not a curated record